This 72-nucleotide transfer RNA is filed under the name Ignisphaera aggregans DSM 17230. Its description in RNAcentral is "tRNA-Trp". It matches the Rfam family "tRNA". Rfam says of the family: Transfer RNA (tRNA) molecules are approximately 80 nucleotides in length. Their secondary structure includes four short double-helical elements and three loops (D, anti-codon, and T loops). The record is from RNAcentral. Lineage: Archaea; Thermoproteati; Thermoproteota; Thermoprotei; Desulfurococcales; Desulfurococcaceae.
CGGGCCCGUAGCUCAGCCAGGUAGAGCGGCGGCUCCAACCCGUAGGUCGGGGGUUCGAAUCCCCCCGGGCCC